Molecule: ribosomal RNA, 461 nt
Filed under: uncultured bacterium
Lineage: Bacteria
Description: partial 16S ribosomal RNA
Rfam family: Bacterial small subunit ribosomal RNA
Source: RNAcentral
CCUACGGGUGGCUGCAGUGAGGAAUAUUGGUCAAUGUGCGAGAGCCUGAACCAGCCAAGUCGCGUGAGGGAAGACGGUCCUAUGGAUUGUAAACCUCUUUUGUCGGGGAGCAAAAAGGCCUCGUGAGGCCACAAGUGAGAGUACCCGAAGAAAAAGCAUCGGCUAACUCCGUGCCAGCAGCCGCGGUAAUACGGAGGAUGCGAGCGUUAUCCGGAUUUAUUGGGUUUAAAGGGUGCGUAGGUUGUUUUUUAAGUCAGCGGUGAAAGUUUGUGGCUCAACCAUAAAAUUGCCGUUGAAACUGGAAGACUUGAGUGUGUUUGAGGUAGGCGGAAUGCGUGGUGUAGCGGUGAAAUGCAUAGAUAUCACGCAGAACUCCGAUUGCGAAGGCAGCUUACUAAGCCAUAACUGACACUGAAGCACGAAAGCGUGGGGAUCAAACAGGAUUAGAUACCCGUGUAGUC